Anser cygnoides (Swan goose) is the source of this 948-nucleotide long non-coding RNA. NCBI's taxonomy places the organism in Eukaryota, Metazoa, Chordata, Aves, Anseriformes, Anatidae. The record is from Ensembl.
CCCCAGCACCUUGCCCCCUAUAGCGUGGUGGCCUCCAACCCUGCGAGGACUGCCGUUAUUUUUAUUUUUAUUUUAUUUUUUUUUUUUUUUUGUCUAGCGAAAGACCUGUACCUCAAGGCGAGCGGGCCGCCUAAUUACAUAACUGUAACUCCGUAUCUCCGUGUUUCUACGUCUCCCUUUCCCCCCCCCCAGCCCACCCGCUGCUGGAGGAGGAUGCUGCGGCCGCGCGCGGAGCCAGGCCCCGGGCGCGCUUCUUGCUGGAAAACCCCGGAGCGAGGCCGUCAGCGUGUGGGGCUUGGUGCCACGGGCAGCCCGCCGCCGCCCCCGCGCCCAGGGGAUGAUGUAGAGGGCCAGGAGCGGCUGGGUGAUAGGGAGCAGCGGUCGCGCUAAGGCAAAACCAGGCAGGCGUCAGCGAAAACAACCCUUGUAGCUCAGUUUGGGGAACGAUAUUUUUGCUCUCAACACCGUACGAUGCUCUGCGUAGAGAAUCAAGUGUCUAAAGCGUGCCACAGGCAAGCCCUUCAACGCAGGAAUCUGAAAACCGUGGAGGAGUUGCCCGGAGUGGUUCCCAUGCUGCUGUGCAGUGGCGCGCAGCCGCUGCCAGGACAGAUUGAGUACAAGAUGGAGAUGAUCCUCCAAAGAUGCCUUUCACCAAAAAAAAAAAGCGCUCACUUUCUGCAGACAACCUCAUCGUGUUGGACCAGAGAUACUUCUUACCUUGGAAGAAAAGACAGGCUAUGGGCGCAGAUUGGGAAUUGGAAGACUCUCAAGAUAAAACAGAAUUGUCAUGUGGAGCUCCUUGUGAGGAAUCAGGCAAAAAUUCCUUUUCUGUUAGAGGGACCAAAGAGGCACCCUUUUCCCUCAAAGAGGGACCCUUUUUCUGUUCUUGAUUGCAGUGAACCAACUGUUAAUGUUUGGAGGAGCGCUUCCCCCAGCCUUUGCGUAUGA